ACGGGUGAGUAACACGUGGGUGAUCUGCCUCGUACUCUGGGAUAAGCCUGGGAAACUGGGUCUAAUACCGGAUAGGACCACUGGUCGCAUGGCUGGUGGCGGAAAGUUUUUCGGUACGAGAUGGGCCCGCGGCCUAUCAGCUUGUUGGUGGGGUAAUGGCCUACCAAGGCGACGACGGGUAGCCGGCCUGAGAGGGCGACCGGCCACACUGGGACUGAGACACGGCCCAGACUCCUACGGGAGGCAGCAGUGGGGAAUAUUGCACAAUGGGCGCAAGCCUGAUGCAGCGACGCCGCGUGAGGGAUGACGGCCUUCGGGUUGUAAACCUCUUUCACCAGGGGCGAAUUUAGGACGGUACCUGGAGAAGAAGCACCGGCCAACUACGUGCCAGCAGCCGCGGUAAUACGUAGGGUGCGAGCGUUGUCCGGAAUUACUGGGCGUAAAGAGCUCGUAGGCGGUUUGUCGCGUCGUUCGUGAAAACCCGAUGCUUAACAUCGGGCGUGCGGGCGAUACGGGCAGACUUGAGUACUACAGGGGAGACUGGAAUUCCUGGU
RNAcentral lists this ribosomal RNA (554 nucleotides) under uncultured bacterium. Its description in RNAcentral is "bacterial SSU rRNA". It matches the Rfam family "Bacterial small subunit ribosomal RNA", at positions 102 to 674 of the family's 1533-position model. The record is from RNAcentral.